AGAGAGAGAGAGAGAGAGAAGACAAUACGCUUUUUAGUUUCACAUGUUGCAAUAUAAGAAAUGCAAGGCCAAACUCCAAAACCGUUACUGAAAUUCAAGGUAGAUUGGAGAAAGGUAUGGCUGAAGGGUUUACAGGGGAUCAGCAAGUGAAAUUUAGCUCCAGAUCAUGUCCGCUAUUGUCAUAAGUUUUGAUGUCAUGGUUCUUCUUUUCAUAUAUUUCAGCAAGUAUUGAGAGUUGCUUGAGUUUCUGCCUUUCUGGUCAUAGAUUCUUUCUCACAAGAACCAUGAAAUUCUCGCUAUAACGGGCAAUGACUAUGUCCCAAGGUGAGCAGUUUCUGAGCCAGUCCUCCCCCAGCAUCCUCCAUUAAUAAAUGGUCUUGAUAUGGGAAAUCAGAUCCUCCUUUUUCUUUUGAAUGGUAACUGGUUUUAGUGUGACAGAGUCCUUUCCAUACUUUAGAUGGUUCUGUACAAAGGACGACUGGCUGUGAAAACAUAUAUGCACCUAUUUCUGAUACCCAAUCAGAAGGACAAGCCUUUUUGAGCUAGGUUUUUAAGCAGCCAUCGGUUGAUAGAAUGUAAGCUUCUAAGGAUUGAACUCUUAUCAGCAAUGUCAGGCAUCACUUGUGCAAUUGUCAUAAGCAGCUUACUUGUUUCUUAAAUGAAUCAAAGAGAAGGGCUUAAUCAAAGGAUAGAGCCAAGGGGAAAUCAAUCUUUUAGGCAUGAAUGCUCUUUAAGUGAGUUCUUUCUCAUAUGCAUGAGCUAGCCAAACAGGAUCUCCUUCUCCAAUGUCCUAUGUUGUUGUUCCUAUUUUUUUUCUGGUUUAAUUUAAUGUUAGAAGCCGCUUUCCUUCUGUAACCUUUAGGGCUUCUUUUGUAGUAAGGAAAAGGGAGGGGAAAAUGGUAGGCAAAGGGAAAAAAAUUAAUUCCCUUUUUUUGUUGGAAGGGAAAAGGAAGGAAAGAUUAAAAGUACAAUUCCCCUGUUUUGUAAGAAGGAAAAGGAGAAAGUAAAAAAAUUGUGAUGAUUUGUUUGGAAAAUGCUCAAAGAGGAUUUUGAGCCAUUUUGUUUUCCGCCCAAAUUGGGCGGAAAGAGUGGAAAGAAAUGUAAAUUUUCUAUUUUCUAUUUUCUAUCUAUGCCCUUUUUUCCCUCCAAUAAUUAUUUUUUAGUAUUUUAUUUAUUCAAUAUGGACAUAAUAGUAAAAAUAUAAUAAUUUUCUCCCCUCACUUUUCUUUCCUUCAAAACAUGGAAAAUAAACAAAUCACUUCUUUUCCACUCCUUUCUCUAUAGAAAAGAUUUGUAUGGAAAUUAAUAAUUUUUCUUUUUAUAGGGAUUUUACUUUCCUUAUGAUUCCACUCACUUUUCUUUCUCCAACUUUCCUUUCUACAAAACAGGCCCUUAGGACAAAAAGGAAAACAACCUUACACUGUCCCAACAUCCAUGACUUUAAAGCAAUGCAGAUAUUUUACAGCACAGAAGGGCAAGACAAAAUGAAAUUAUGUAAGAUUUGAUAAACCCCCUUUGGUCCAGCUAGCCUUAUUAGAGUCAUGUAGGUUUCUCACUAUCCAUGAAACAAGGUCAGGAUCAACACAAAUUGGAAAAUUAUGCACCAAGCCUUUGAAGGAUGGGCUUGUAGGUUUCUCACUUUCCCUGACACAAGGCCAGGAUUAUUAAACAUUGGAAAAAUAUACACCAAACAGAAUCAAUGGUUUCUCACUUUGAGAGAUGAGGUUUAGUUCACUAUUCCUACAAUUUCUAGGCUGGAAUUGUCCUUUUAUUUUCCAUUAAUUCCUCCAGACAGAAUGCGAUUGAAAGAAUCAGCUUUCACCCAAAUGAGUAAUAAAAAUUCAAAGGUCAUGCAGUUUGUAGUCUUGCUCUAGACGCACUGAAAGGGCAAGAUGGUUAAUCAAAAAGAAAAUUGUGAUACCAUAACUCAAAACAACUAAAGUGACAAAGAAAUGGUGGGGGGGCCUCGGAAAAGGUCCCUUGACUCGCUUAGAGGGGAAUAUAUAUAUAAUACAUACAGGAGAAAGACAAAGAAAGGGAGAUUAUAUGGUGACAUUUGUAUUGAUCAAAAUUAACCAUAACAACAUAUUAAUUUUAACUAUCAACCAAAAGCAUGUGAAAUUUAAACCAGUACACACAUAAGCAUCCAUGUGCAUGGUGACUCCAAUGAAGAUAACAAAACAAGGGAUAAAGAGAAUGCAAAACUGAAGAAGGUAUAGAUCAUAGUCUUCCAAGGUAAAUACAAGGAAACAGAACAAACCUCUGAUACCAGCAGCUAUUGGCAACAAAUUAAGGAACACAAGAAAAGCAACUUAAGAAAAAGUACUUUGAGCUUCAUUGAGGGUGCUAAUAAAAAUUCUUAUACUUGUUCAAGUGCAAAGAGAAUGAAAACAACCAAGCAACUUGUUUCAAAUUCUGUCUACUAGCAGCCUAACCAACAUAUUCCUGUAUCAUAGCCACUAUCCAAGAAAUGCACAUUUUGGUUUAAACUAAAAAAAAAACAAGCUUUGUAAAUCUUAAUUUAGAUGAUGAGUGGAAUGCUUCAUCUUAUAUCCGACAUUUAUAGUUUCUGGGAUGUGACAAAAACAUUAAUACCACUUCACUAGAUUCCUUUGGAGUCGCAGUGGAAUAAUAAGCCUAACUAUCAAAAAGUUAUCCUAGGCCAACUCAUCACUUCACGGUGCUCGAUAGACAUUAACGAUAUAACAGUUGUAAUUGCCAAAGGUCCCAUUUCAGAACUGAGGAACUAACCUUAGGAGGAUAAGUGAAAAGGAUCGCGUUCUUCUCUUUUGUGUAUAUAAUCAGCUGCAACAAUCCAUUGAAGACUACAUACUUGCCAGAGUCAAAGAUUAAACAAAUCUGAGUUUAACUUCCAAUCAUUUCCUUGGAACAUACCAAGAAAAAUAAGGGGUAAAACCAAUUUUCAAGUAAUACUCUCACCCUCAAAUUCACUAAAACCUGAAUUAGGAUAAGAGGCCCAUAUAAUUGCAAUUUUCACAUUCAAAGAAACAGACACCAGGAAAAAAAAUUUCCAUCCUCCUUCCUGGGACAUAAAUUCUAAAUCUCAAUCCAUGCAAUUUAGGUUUUGAAAAUGACACUAUUUGACCUGCUGGAGCUCAGAUGAGGAAAGAAUUUAAUUUCCUCAGUUUUUUAGAUACUGAGGAUUUAUUAAACAAAACUCAAACCAAUAACCUACACGCAAAAUGAACCAAGCCAGCAGGCUCAUGCAACUAAUUUACAAAAUUAAAAAAACUCAAUUAAUGAAUGUGAGCAACACAAAUAAAAAUGGUUUCUAAGGAUAU
RNAcentral lists this unclassified non-coding RNA (3302 nucleotides) under Hevea brasiliensis (rubber tree). The record is from RNAcentral. Lineage: Eukaryota; Viridiplantae; Streptophyta; Magnoliopsida; Malpighiales; Euphorbiaceae.